AGCGAACGCUGGCGGCAGGCCUAAUACAUGCAAGUCGAGCGGGUCCUUCGGGAUUAGCGGCGGACGGGUGAGUAACGCGUGGGAACGUGCCCUUUGGUACGGGAACAACUGAGGGAAACUUCAGCUAAUACCGUAUGUGCCCUUCGGGGAAAGAUUAUCGCCAUUGGAGCGGCCCGCGUUGGAUUAGGUAGUUGGUGAGGUAAAGGCUCACCAAGCCUACGAUCCAUAGCUGGUCUGAGAGGAUGACCAGCCACACUGGGACUGAGACACGGCCCAGACUCCUACGGGAGGCAGCAGUAGGGAAUCUUGCGCAAUGGGCGAAAGCCUGACGCAGCCAUGCCGCGUGAAUGAUGAAGGUCUUAGGAUUGUAAAAUCCUUUCACCGGGACGACAAUGAC
This 397-nucleotide ribosomal RNA is filed under the name uncultured bacterium. RNAcentral's name for it is "bacterial SSU rRNA". It matches the Rfam family "Bacterial small subunit ribosomal RNA", at positions 29 to 455 of the family's 1533-position model. The record is from RNAcentral.